CCUACGGGCGGCAGCAGUGGGGAAUAUUGCACAAUGGGCGCAAGCCUGAUGCAGCCAUGCCGCGUGUGUGAAGAAGGCCUUCGGGUUGUAAAGCACUUUCAGCGGGGAGGAAGGCGUUAAGGUUAAUAACCUUGGCGAUUGACGUUACCCGCAGAAGAAGCACCGGCUAACUCCGUGCCAGCAGCCGCGGUAAUACGGAGGGUGCAAGCGUUAAUCGGAAUUACUGGGCGUAAAGCGCACGCAGGCGGUCUGUCAAGUCGGAUGUGAAAUCCCCGGGCUCAACCUGGGAACUGCAUUCGAAACUGGCAGGCUAGAGUCUUGUAGAGGGGGGUAGAAUUCCAGGUGUAGCAGUGAAAUGCGUAGAGAUCUGGAGGAAUACCGGUGGCGAAGGCGGCCCCCUGGACAAAGACUGACGCUCAGGUGCGAAAGCGUGGGGAGCAAACAGGAUUAGAUACCCGGGUAGUC
This 465-nucleotide ribosomal RNA is filed under the name uncultured Klebsiella sp. RNAcentral's name for it is "bacterial SSU rRNA". It matches the Rfam family "Bacterial small subunit ribosomal RNA", at positions 338 to 795 of the family's 1533-position model. Lineage: Bacteria; Pseudomonadati; Pseudomonadota; Gammaproteobacteria; Enterobacterales; Enterobacteriaceae. The record is from RNAcentral.